GAUGAACGCUGGCGGCGUGCCUAACACAUGCAAGUCGAGCGGACGGACGAGAAGCUUGUGUCGUUGAUGUUAGCGGCGGGGGGGUGUGUAACACGUGGAUAACGCACUUAUAAGACGGGGAUAAUCACGGAAAACGGGAUCUUAUAGCGGAUAAUAUUUUGAACCGUAGGGGGCAAUAGAGAAUGACGGCCGUGCGGGCAGGAAUAGAUGGAUACGAGCUGCAUGAGGUAGUUGGUAAGGUAACGGCUUACGAAGGGAACGAUGCAUAGGCGACCUGAGAGGGUGAUCGGCCACACUGGAACUGAGACACGGUCCAGACUCCUACGGGAGGCAGCAGUAGGGAAUCUUCGGCAGUGGGCGAAAGCCUGACGGAGCAACGCCGCGUGAGUGAUGAAGGUCUUCGGAUCGGAAAGCUCUGUUAUUAGGGAAGAACAUAUGUGUAAGUAGCUGUGGCGAGCUUGACGGUACCUAAUCAAGAAGCCACGGCUAACUACGUG
This 497-nucleotide ribosomal RNA is filed under the name uncultured bacterium. RNAcentral's name for it is "partial 16S ribosomal RNA". It matches the Rfam family "Bacterial small subunit ribosomal RNA", at positions 28 to 507 of the family's 1533-position model. The record is from RNAcentral.